AUUGAACGCUGGCGGCAGGCCUAACACAUGCAAGUCGAACGAGUGGCGGACGGGUGAGUAAUGUCUGGGAAACUGCCUGAUGGAGGGGGAUAACUACUGGAAACGGUAGCUAAUACCGCAUACCAUCAGAUGUGCCCAGAUGGGAUUAGCUAGUUGGUGGGGUAACGGCUCACCAAGGCGACGAUCCCUAGCUGGGCUGAGAGGAUGACCAGCCAAACUGGGACCGAGAAAAGGUCCCGAACCCUACGGGGGGCAAGAGUAGGGAAAAUUGCAAAAUGGGCGCAAGCCUUAUGCAGCCAGGCCGCGGGUAUGAAGAAGGCCUUCGGGUUGGAAAGUACUUUCAGCGGGGAGGAGUUACCCGCAGAAGAAGCACCGGCUAACUCCGUGCCAGCAGCCGCGGUAAUUC
RNAcentral lists this ribosomal RNA (406 nucleotides) under uncultured bacterium. RNAcentral's name for it is "partial 16S ribosomal RNA". It matches the Rfam family "Bacterial small subunit ribosomal RNA", at positions 29 to 526 of the family's 1533-position model. The record is from RNAcentral.